This 826-nucleotide long non-coding RNA is filed under the name Gossypium raimondii (Peruvian cotton). Its description in RNAcentral is "long non-coding RNA (GRAI_LNC005609)". The record is from RNAcentral. Lineage: Eukaryota; Viridiplantae; Streptophyta; Magnoliopsida; Malvales; Malvaceae.
UCUUUUUUAGUGGCUUUGUUCAGUUUCCUAUAGUCUAUACAAACCCGCCAACCAUUCUGCACUCUCGUAGGAAUCUCUAACCCCUCCUUGUUGGUAACUAUUGUAGUUCCUCUCCUCUUAGGUACAACAUGAAUUGGACUUACCCACUUUGAAUCGGCUAUAGGAUAAAUGACAUCGGCUUCCAACCAUUUUAAAAUUUCAGUCUUAACUACCUCCAUCAUUGGUGGAUUCAAUCGGCGUUGGGGGUCUCUUUUGGGGACUGAAUCUGGUUCCAAAGCUAUCUUGUGGGUACACAAAGUCGUACUAAGUCCCUUAAUGUCAGCUAGUGUCCAACCGAAGGCUUCUUUAUGCUCCCUAAGAACCCUAAGCAGCUUAGAUUCUUGGGAUUCAGUCAAGGCAUUCGACACUAUCAAUGGUAAAGUUUGAUUUUCCCCUAAAUAAAUCUACUUUAAAUUUUUGGGCAGCUCUUUUAACUCUAAUUUAGGUGGCGAAAUCAAUGAAGGGACUUGCUUACCAGUCACCGUAAGAUUAGGGAGAAUCGGCUUGAAUCGUGUCAAUUUGGGUGAGUCUAAAGCACAAACUGAGUCAAUUAAAGAAUCAGAAACGAUAAAUUCAUGAUCAUCGAUAUCAAAAAUACCUUUAGCUAGAAUGCUUUUCAACUCGUCUUCAUCCCCUAAUUCAUAAACAUCUUGAACAAAAUUAUCAAUUACAUCAAGAGUAAACACGGAAUUAAUAUCAGUGGGAUAUCUCAUAGCAUCAAAUAUAUUAAAUUUAAUUAUCUCACCAUCAAAUUCCAUCGUUAAAUUCCCUUUAUGCACAUCAAUUU